GUCUACGGCCAUACCAACUGGAACAUGCCUGCUCUCAUUUGAUCUCAGCAACUAAGCAGGGGCAGGCCUGGUUAGUACUUGGAUGGGAGGAAGACAUUUUAGCAUAGGUU
This 110-nucleotide ribosomal RNA is filed under the name Neotoma lepida (desert woodrat). The record is from RNAcentral. Lineage: Eukaryota; Metazoa; Chordata; Mammalia; Rodentia; Cricetidae.